CUUUAACCUCUUAUCGUAUCUUCUUGGUAACCUUGUGUUUUACGGUGGGACCCGGGGGAUCCAAGUAUCCUCAUUUAAGGCCAGCUCCUCGCAAGCUCGUCCCGUGCCCGCUUCACCCGCUUGGUCGUGUCUCCUGUAAUGAUGCCCUUUCUCCGCACAACUGUGAGCCACCCAGGCUUCCUUGUAAUGAUGCCCUUUCUCAUUCCUAACGGCCUACACGUGUGCUGGCAUCCCUGCGACAGAGACACAAAACAUCGCCGCACACCUCCUUCCAACAGCCGUCACGUUUCUCUUGCCCCUUUUAGGUAAACUGUUGGAGAAGGCGUUUUCCUGCCACACGGGCGGGCCCUCCAACUCUCUUGACCUCCUCCAAUCAGUCAUUCCCCCCCACCUACACCGCUGGAAGCAGUCUUGCUGAGGCACAUAUGGGGAACUCACACAUUUGUUAAGUCAGCCUGGGAAGAAGGGCUUUUUUUCUGAGGGAGGCAGUUUUGGCAGCCCAGGAGAUGGUUCGGAAGGUUAGUGGGGUGUAGCCUUUCUCCUAAGUUCAGGGGUGGCACACCUUUAACAAUUCAUUUGGCUUAGUAAAUGUUCAGUAAACAUUAACAGAUCCCAUUAUUCAGACUGUCCUAUUAACAGGAAUAUCCUAUUAAGAGAACACUCGUUUUCACUCUCCCCCCUCCCCACUGGCAGGGUACCCUGGCAGAACAAAGACCUAGCCUGGGUCAUUUUAACAACAAAUAUUUUCGAGCACUUAUUUCCGUGUGGCUCAACCUAAUACCACAUUUCAGGCUGUGCUGUGUGCUUUACAUGUAUUAUCUCGUCCUCAAAACAACCUUAUGGGCUAGAUCAUACUAUUCUCCAUACUGUCCGAGGAGGAAGCAAGCAUAGAUUGAAUAACUGCACAAAGGUAGUUUGAGGUGGAGUUGAGAUUUGAAACUAGGUAAUUUGACACCGCAGCCUUAGUUCUUUCAAACUACUUUACAUGCCUCCCAGAGUUUUAAGACCUAACCUAUAGAAAGGUACCAGGGCUUGCAGGGAUCCUGAAAGUCCUUUGCUACGUGCCUCCCUUCACACAGGGUUACGUGAAGCCAUCAGGGAUGGAUGGGUUAAUUACGACUGUCCUUAAAGGUGUCCAUCAGCUCAGCUUCCUUGGGUCAUUCAUCUCAACAGAGUUGGAAGUUUUUGUCUAGAUACAACCUGAAACCCGUUAGAUUCACUAAAGAUCUUAAUCCUGGUGACUCAUGUCCAAAGAGUAUGUCUUUUCCAUUGAUAGCCACCAUUUUCCCGAGUCCAUUCAUUCCCAUACCCUUUAUCUUUCACAGAAAUGGUAAUGUCACUGUAGUCCCUGAUAGUGAUUUCACGUAGAACCAAGAAAGUUAUGGUGCCCGUAUUUUCUGGAGCAGAAUAGUUGACACGUGGCGUAGAGUGACUAUAGAAAAAUCUAAGACAGGAGUCCUCCAACAAAUGUGUACGGAGCACCACUGUGGUCCAGGUCUCUGGCAGGUUUGGGGGAUACAAAGUCUUAUAAGAAAUGGCUCCUGGCCUUGCAGUUCUCACGCUUUCCCUAAUACAAGUUCUCUGAACAGCGUUUAUGACUCAGUAUUUCAAACUGGGUAGCUGCGGCCCAUGGGAAUUUAGAAAUAGGAAAUUUACUUGAACUGAAAAUGCUGUUCUUCGGAAGAACUCCUUAGGCAUGCUCUCUCUAGAGGACUCUCUAUAUAGUACUUGGCAGCUCCAUGUAGAGUUCUCUCCUUCCCAUUAUUGUACGCCUCUUUAAUAGGUCCUGUGGCUUCUAGUUUUCUCUUUACCCGUUUGACACUGGUUAUGUUUUAUUUUUUAUUUUUUAAGUAGGCUUCACGCCCAAUGUGGGGCUGGAGCUCAUGACCCUGAGAUCAAGAGGCGGAUGCUCUACCGACUUAGCCAGCCAUGCGCCCUGAUCUGUUUUAAACACUACUCAGAUUCUACUUCUGUUUUAGAACUUCACAUGGUUCCCUGUUGUUCUCAGUGUCAGGUUCAUACUCCUUGCUGUUGAAUUGUGAGGCAGGCCACGGUCUGCCCCACACUCUACUUUUUAGCCUCCUUUUAGUUGCUAUUAUUCCUUUUGUUCUCCAGUGACCACUCAGCCAGAUGUGCUGAACUGUGAGGUCUGACUGUGUGAAACUGCCGUUUUACAUAUCAAAAAUGGUCUAAGACUUGCAAUUCAAUACAGUUCAAGUUCACACUUGCCAUUCCUGCAUGAUACUGUACUUUCAGACCGCUUUUCCGCAGAAUGUCUCCACUUGCUUCAUCUGAUAAGCUCCCACUUAUCCUUUAAAACCCAUGGCGGAUGUCCCCUCUCCAUGAGGCUUUCCUGGCUCACCCGGUGGAAUUAGUGCCCCCAGCAGAGGCUCACACCCUGGAUGUGAUUCUUCUCCCCACUUAGCUUGGCGGGAGUUACCAGUCCACUCCUACACGAUGCUGGCCCCGCCUUGUCUGGCCCGUGAACAUCCCAAGGAAGGGGACCAUAUCACAAAGAUCCCACAUCCUGCAUAGUCCAUAGUGCCACGUGCAUAAUGCUGACUAUUGGAGGACUACCCGCUUCCUUUAUGAACUUGUAAUUAUGAAAAGACACUCCUACAUGUUUUUAAAAUUCUGAUGUCGUUUAUUGGCACAAAAAUUAUUCAGAUACAACAUGGUGUCUAGAAUGGCUGCACUUGAUACUUUGUGCAUUUACUUUAAUAUUUCCUUUGCUCAGAAUUCCCAGCGGGUACCAGACCUUCCCUCUCUGUUGAGCACCUCCACGACGGCAUUUCUAUUUCCAAGCCCUUGCUCUAAACACAGAGCGUUCGGACUUCACUGACAACAUCCCAAAACCGUGCUGGGGAAGGCCACUGUGGGCCACCCUACCGCACCACGAUCUCUGUGCAUUUGCUCAGCUAAGGCCACCCAGCGACUGGAAGAAACUCCCCUCCUAGCACUGGGGCCUUGGAUUGAAGUGAGUCAAGUCGCGGCAUCACGAGUGAGGCAGAAGACAGGCGCUUGCCACCCAUUUUGGCCCAUCUUACAAAUGUUGUUGCCGUCCGCGGACCAGUGAGGUAACGGGAUGGGUGGAAGUGACCAAGUCAGCUCCUCCCGAUUUCUAACACGUGUCCUCCAUGGCCUGAGGCUUCCUGACUGUGCAGAGUUUGCCGUGUCCUUAUCGGGAAGGACAAGGAGGCCAUUCUUCCAUCAGCAAUGCUUAUGAUGAGUUCUCUUGUGAGUUAAGUCAAAACCCGUAUUUCUAAGUUAUGGAUCUUCUGUUCCCCCAAAUCAAUGGCUUGAUUUAUGUAGUAUUUCUGUGUUUACUGUCCUGGGAACCGAAUCAAGCCUUGUGUUUCUGACAAUAUAUUCUUCAACAGCAGCUAGAAAGUUGGUUCAAACCAACGUUUAAUAUACAGUAGUUCUUUUCAUUUACAUUUCAAGAUAUUUAACAAAGUCGAACUUCCUGGCCAUGGUUGCGGUUUAGUGGAAGCAUAUCCAAAGUACAAAAGCCUCAAGAGAAACGCUGUGGGCCCUUCUGGGCCUUGGGUUACCAAAAAGGACACCUAAGAAGACAGAGACAAAAGGAAUAUUUUAAUAAUUUGGGCUUCUUCAGGCCUUUACACAGAUACACUGAAAGUGGAGAGACCAAGGUCUGACAACCCCUGGGGACAUUCCUUGAGAUCUCCCACAACUAAUUGUGUCGGACACACUCAUCAUUUCCAGUCAAGGGCUGAUGCCUGCUGCGGUCCCAGAAGGACACUUCGCCAUCCUCCUCCCUCUCAAGUUUCUAUCUUCAAACGUGCCUCCGGCAAUUCAUCAAAGCAGACCCCAGCGUGGUCCUUGAGGUUACAGUCCCAGAGCAUUAAUUAGUCUUUGCGUCUCCUGCUCUGUCACUGCUCUGGCUUCUUUUCUGUGGCCCUUCCCUCCAUCUUUGAAUUGACAGCAAAAAAUCCAAAAAGAACCUCUCUCCCCACCCCUAAGGAAAGGGGGACUCACCUACUUUUCUAAACCACUUUUUAAUGUAAUUUUAUUUCGGUGUUUGCCUUCCAAGUAGGCACCCGUGUUUCUCAAGUGGCUCCCUUUCUAGAACUGUGAGCCCACACGGUGAAUACCAACUUUUAAAGAGAUCUGACACUACGAUUACCCUUUAUGGAUAACCCCCCCCCCCCCCCACCCCAGGCUUUCUGCAGCUCUGGGACUGGGGCACAGGACGGGGCCCCACUGGCUGGUUUUAGCACAGGCGCUCUGGCACGCCCACUCACCAGCCGAUGUAGCACUGGCACAGGUUUUCAUGGGAUGUUGCUUGCUUGAUCAGCAGCUCAACUUGAGUGGGGACAUCCAGGGUUUCGUCAUGAGAAAAGUCCCGACCUAGGACAGGAGAAACAAAAACAGCUCUUGCGCACCUGUUUUUCAGCUCCGUCCUUGCCCCGGGGUCGGCUGACCUGUCUGUGCAGCCCGUAUCAGGUUCUCCUUGCCUGUGAGUAUGAAGGCUACGCGGUGGCUGGAUUUUAAAUUCACCUCCGUGUGACAUGAACACACACCGGUCUCCUCCUCCAGACAGAGACUGGGUGUGAAGAGGGUAAGGGUGAAGGUCUGCGGUUGGCUGAGGCCUGGGGUGGUGCAGGUCUGGCUGGUGGGUCUGCGGAGAUUCCUUUUAUCUGUUGCCAUCUUCAGGCAAGUGGACGGGAAACCCUUCCCCCUCUCAAUCCUAUAACCUCCGUUGUUGAGCCUUUGCUCCCACGGGCCGGCUUGCCUCCGUCAUAAACCAGAACAGGCACUCGUGGCCGGCCGAUGAAGCCUCGGGUGAACGUGCCCGUCCACCUCCCCGAGGCUGAGCUCAAGACGGCUGAGCUGGCUUUUCACCGCGGGCUUCUCACCGCCAGCACGUGCCCUCGGCUCCUCCUUUACAAGUUAAUUCAUUCACUGAGCUCAUGGUUUCGGACCCCUGAUGUGUCAGGCAGCGCUCGAGGCGCUGGGUUUGCUGGACACGAGCUCUCUCCUCAUUGCUGCUACCGUCUGGAGGCACCUCUCCUCCCACUGAAGGCGAAAUUCCUCUGCACUCGGAUCCCAAGGCCUCCCGGUGCCUAGGGGGGCUUCGCACGGUCACUUGCCCUCCUUCCCUGUCUUUAAACUUUGUAAACUAGGUCCUCUUGCCCAUUAAAGAACAAAGGGCUCCCGCCCAACUACUCCCUCUGCAGCCAGGGACCCUCCCGUCCCUGCACAGCCAGCUUCUCACACUUUUGAGACUUGUCUCCCCUGCCUGGCUUCUCUCCCCAAGUUCACAUCCUCUUCAACCCCUUUGGUCUGGCUGCCAGCCUUGUCACACUCUCAGAAGGCUGCCAGUGACUCGGGGCUUCCUGGGUGCCUCCCAUCCUCACGCCCCAUCAUCAUCAAUCAGUCCCUUGGAUUUUGCCUCCUGAAGUUCUGGAAGCCACCUCAGUCUAGUCAACUGUCCGGCCGCCACUUCGGCACCUGCUUCCUCCCUCCAUGCAGCCUCCACGUGGCAGGACAGGCAGGAUUCCCCAGGGUAAACCCAGCGGGCCAUUCCCGCCUCUCCACCCCACUUCAAGACCUCAGGGCCUUCCCACUGCCCUGAGGAUGGAGAACGAAAAUGCAAGGCCCCGCGUGACCCCGCCCCAGCCCCCUCAGAGUGAAGCAUUUUGCGCUGUGCUCCUCCCGUGUCGCUCUCUGCGGCAGUCACACUUGUCGGCUCUCAGACCAUUUUUCUUGCCAGCUUCCUUCCCACCACGGGGCCCUUGCAUGUGCCGUUUCCCUUACCUAGAACAAUCUGCCUCUAAUUACGUCCUUUUUCGGGUGUUAGCUCAAGGGCUGUUUGCCUAGGGAAGCUUUCCUGAACACCAGCACUUAGAUUUCCCCGUUACCGGCAUCACAGCCCAAGCCCUUUCUUGCACCUGCCACAGUGUCUCCUUCAGACGUUGACCCCACGAGGGCAGGAAAUCCAGCUGCUUUUACCAGCACAGUUUCUUCAGCAUCUAGCGCUUGUAGGCGCUCAAUAAAUAAAUACGACUUGACCACAACACUUCUGUGCCAGCCCCUCAUGCUAAGGCUUGGCAUCCCAGGUCUCACUUGAGCCCCGCCGCCUUCUGAGAGAGGCGCUGUCGUCAUCUUCCAGAUGAGCAGACAGGGAGGCCCAGGAGUCACACAGGAUGCGGCAGAGCUGGGGUCUUCGGUCCCUGUGACCACUGCCCCCCCACCCCCACCCCAUCAUACCCUCUGGUCUGUAUGACACGUCUCGUUUUCAAAAGUAUGCAUUUCUCUCCCUCCACGCUCUCCACUCCGUUAACAGCCACCAAAGUGCAGGAAGGCAGUGAAUGAGAGUGGUCAGAUUUGCUCCAGUGUCAAGCCAGGAUGAGAAGAAAAAUUUUUUCCUGAAUUUGGCGGACUUUGGACCCAAAAGGACUGUAUCCACCUCUGUCUGUUAAAAUGAGAUUAACGUCUGCUUACAGUGGGUUUAUUGGUCUUUAGAGAAUCAGAGAGGGUCCUUGACGGAUACAGCCUCGGAGACCCUCCAGUGAGCUGCAGAGUCCAAGUUUAGGCGCCAACACCGCCGGGAAGAGGCUGACCACCCACUCGAGGACAGAGAAAUCUCUCAAGAGUCUAUGUUCCUUUUAAGCGAACGCACACACAUACUCACCAGUGAGCUUGUCUCGAACCCGGUUGAUAAUCUGAAUAGCUUUCUUAUUUAGGGCCUCUGGUUUCACCAAACCGUCUCCAACUGGAAUACACAAAAGUAGAAAUAACAGUAGGAUUGGAUCAUCUCAACAGUCUCAACGGAUGCCCCUGUUUUUCUCAAAUAUUCACUUUUGUAAGUGUUGGGUAAUUCUCCCCCUGUGUCUGUCUCUGUGCUCGGAAUAUAAAGAGGAAUUCACAGAGCGCUAUCUGCUCAAAGGCAGUUUUGUUGCCUCGCCCUGUUGGCCCCUCUCAUGGCACAACACAGCCGCUGUGCUCUUCAUGAGCCGGUCCUCGGUGCAGUUCCUCGGCCGUUGCACUUACUGAAGGAAUGAAUGGACUCUGGCACCGUGGUCCCUGUUUUCUUAUGCGCGGGUUCCCCAAGCUCCACACCGUCCAAAAUUUCUAGGAGGAAAAAGAAUCGACUGGCAGAACAUUCUACCACCAAGAAACCACUGUUUCAAGUGUUAGCUCUACUUCUCCACACACCACCUCCCCUUUCAAGCUCGCCCUGCUACCUCUGAGGGGAAAGGAGAGGAAGAAGGGUCACUAUGGAUUUGAAAGAUCUUACGUCUCCAAACACGAAUUUUCAAGCAAACGGCCUUUAUAAAAUGUUCUGACGUAGAGAACAGGAGCGGGAAUGAAAGCCCUGCUGUUAAGACUUGUUUGGCUCGACAAAAUCUGAUGAUACAAAAAACACGAGCCUUCCCUGGGUCACGCUCAUGACCCGAGUGUUAUUCUUUGGAGGAAUCUAUAUGCCAUUUCUGGGCAGAAAAAGUCCUCAGGCCUUGGGGUCACUCUCCACCAGUUGUGGCCUUCAGGAGAAAAGAGUCUGGAAGGAGGAGUAUGAGGUUAUUUGCACGUUGCCCUUGCACACCACAGGCCUUCAAAAUGAAGCGAGUAGUAAUAAUAGUUCUAUGAAACUUCACUUUUAAGCCACAUGACACCAGCCGGGUCCACCACUCUCUGGUGCCACCAGAACCAGCUGUCCUAAUUCCCCGUAGGCAGCACAGAGGAGUCACGCGAUAAUGUACGAAUGAGGUGGACCCUGAGCACGAAAGUCUCACAUACUUUGGACAAGACCAGUCACCCGCACAAAGUAUCCCAGACACUGCAAGUAAUUCCGGCAUCAUUCACAAAUCCUGUCGUAGUGUCCGCGGUAGAGUCCGCACCGGUUCACAGACUGCACCAUAGCCCAGGACCUCAAUGUCCUGCCCAGAACACCCUCUUCCCUCCCACCUGUCUGAAAUGGCCAGCCUAAAUCGCACUGACCCGGGACCUCCCUUCUCGACUGCAGUUCAGAGUGGUAGGUUCUUGCUCUCAGCCCCACAGCCUCUCCUCUGAACCAAACUGCAAACCGUGAGCUGUGGGACCACACGGGGCGGGGGGAUGACGGUUCUCUGAUCAGUUCGUGGACUAUAUGUUUUGACUGAUUCUGUGAUGUGAUUCUAUGCUUCUCGAAGGUAAUCUCUGUAUGUCACACUCUUUUUGCACCCUUAAACAUUAUUUGGCUUAGCUAAGUAACAAGUUGCAGAUGUUCCAUUGGUAUUUGUAGAGAAUACUUACCUUUUCUUACACCCCAACAGUAUUUCCAAGGUGCGAACUAUGUAGGAUGUUGUUAGAUGUUAUGGGGGAAACAGGGGAGGAGGGACGGGCAAGGUGAAACAAAGUUAAACCGCUUUACUCUUAAGACUUUUGAGAGGUUCACACAAACCCCGUUCUGGCUCUUGAAGGGCAUUAUCUUCCAGGGACCCUGUUCUGUGGACCCACUCUUGACGGCAGUGUUUCCUGUGGCUUCCCCGCCCCUCAGACAGCAGUGUGAGUACACUUCCAGUAGCUUCCUGGGUCCUCAGCCAGCAGUAUGAAUACACUUCCCGUGAGUACACCUUCUGUGGUUUUCCUCAGACGACAGUGUGAAUACGCGUCUGCUGCUAUUUCUAAGCUACUAACAAUUCUGUAGGCCCGUGGACACGGCUAAUAAUUAUCCCAAUCCAGACAGCAUUCAAGGGCAUAUACUGGCUGAUACUCAGACAUACUUUCAAUUGUGUUUACAGAUAGAUUAAGACUGGAAAGUUUGAUCAAAAUUUCUGAGCCUCAGGUACCCACCCCAUCCUGAGAGGCAUUAAAUAAAAAAAAAACGUGUGCUCAGUAAAUAUUUCUAGACUAACUUUCUGAAGUUACAUAAAUGCCCAUUAGACGAUAUUUUAGCAGUGACACAACUUCUGCAUGACCGUAUCACUGGUAAGAGCCUCUGGAAACACAUGCUUCCUUCCUUCAUAUUCAGCAUCCAUUACCGCUUUCCAUCAUGCCUCCUAAUGGCAAGAACAAAGCUCACCCUGUUUGAGACAAACUCUGCACAAAAGGGACAGCAUCUGCAAUCUCCCAUGGGAUGCACCCACCUACUGACUGGCCAGCAGAGUAGGAAUCUGUCCUUGUUCGGGACCGCUUGUUGCCUUUGGUAUUUGCUGGGGAAAGAAAUAAAGAGAGGAUAAAAAGUG
Molecule: long non-coding RNA, 9191 nt
Organism: Neofelis nebulosa (Clouded leopard)
Lineage: Eukaryota; Metazoa; Chordata; Mammalia; Carnivora; Felidae
Exons: 2
Source: RefSeq, a predicted model, not a curated record